RNAcentral lists this ribosomal RNA (432 nucleotides) under uncultured bacterium. RNAcentral describes it as "bacterial SSU rRNA". It matches the Rfam family "Bacterial small subunit ribosomal RNA", at positions 1 to 430 of the family's 1533-position model. The record is from RNAcentral.
CCCUUAGAGUUUGAUCCUGGCUCAGGACGAACGCUGGCGGCGCGCCUAACACAUGCAAGUCGAACGAGAGAUGAGGAGCUUGCUCUUCAAAUCGAGUGGCGAACGGGUGAGUAACGCGUGAGGAACCUGCCUCAAAGAGGGGGACAACAGUUGGAAACGACUGCUAAUACCGCAUAAGCCCACGGCUCGGCAUCGAGCAGAGGGAAAAGGAGUGAUCCGCUUUGAGAUGGCCUCGCGUCCGAUUAGCUAGUUGGUGAGGUAACGGCCCACCAAGGCGACGAUCGGUAGCCGGACUGAGAGGUUGAACGGCCACAUUGGGACUGAGACACGGCCCAGACUCCUACGGGAGGCAGCAGUGGGGAAUAUUGCACAAUGGGGGAAACCCUGAUGCAGCGACGCCGCGUGGAGGAAGAAGGUCUUCGGAUUGUAAAC